GAUGAGCGCUGACAGAAUGCUUAACACAUGCAAGUCUACUUGAAGCAGUCUUCGGACUGUGGAGGGUGGCGGACGGGUGAGUAACGCGUAAAGAACUUGCCUUGUAGUCUGGGACAACAUUUGGAAACGAAUGCUAAUACCGGAUAUUAUGAAAUCGUUGCAUGACAAUAUCAUGAAAGCUAUAUGCGCUACAAGAGAGCUUUGCGUCCCAUUAGCUAGUUGGAGAGGUAACGGCUCACCAAGGCGAAUGAUGGGUAGCCGGAUUGAGAGGUUGAACGGCCACACUGGAACUGAGACACGGUCCAG
RNAcentral lists this ribosomal RNA (306 nucleotides) under uncultured bacterium. Its description in RNAcentral is "bacterial SSU rRNA". It matches the Rfam family "Bacterial small subunit ribosomal RNA", at positions 28 to 334 of the family's 1533-position model. The record is from RNAcentral.